CAGGUCUGGCAGCUGAGCCCUCUUCGUCAGGAGUUCUCAAUGGCCCCCAAGGUGCCUUUGUUUCCUCAAGGGGUUUUCAUAGCAUCCUCAGCUGUGGUAAGAAUAAUUAGAAUUUCUCUUUAAAACCUAUAAAAGUCCAAAUUACAUGUCUUUUAAACAUUUUUCUGUUGCUUUCCUUUAUUUUAUGCUUCUGUUCUUGUUUUUAAGGAAGGCAAUGUAUCGCAUCCUGUAUUACCUUCCCCUGACCUCAUAGCUUCCCAAAACAGGAACAAUCAUGGGCUUUGAAGUUACAGGAAUGCAGAUGUGAUUCCUAUGGAUGAGGGUAACCUAGAGGCUAGAAGAACAAUAGGACAGAAGAAGCCUGGGUCCCUGAACAACCUUGUGGAGCAUAGACACCUACGUGGCCUGGACUGCCAGCUCACAAUGGGCCUCUCUGUGAGAGAAGGAAACUUCCCUCUUGUUUAAGCAACUGUGCUUUUGAGAAUCUCUUGGUCUAUACCCUAAUGAAUAAGGCCAUCAUAAAUGGAUAUCAAAGUAAGGAAAUUUGUGUAAAUGAUUUAAUAAAACAUUACCUCAGGUAUGAAAUAAUUCUACCUUGUGCCUUGACAACAUCAGGUAUUAUUCAUGCCCUUUUCUCUCCCUGUAAUGUCUCUUAUCCACGGGUAGAAAUUAUAUUUUCCAUCUAAGGUUUGCUCAAAUAUUAUCUACUUAAGUAGCUCUUACCAAUUUUGCCUCUCCUCCUGAGCUGACCCUAUGCCUUCUAUGCUGUUCCAGGUAAUAUUAAUCUCUUCCUUUGUACUUCUUUCACAGAACAUACUUUUUUGUCUAACAUAAUAACUAUAGGCAUAAGUGUAUAGAUUCCACUAGGGGCUUCAGAACAGAAACUAUCAUCUUAUUAAUUUUUUUCUCCCUGAUAUCUAGGGAAAUAUGUUAUAUAUAAUAGGCCCUUAGUAAUCCCAUAAAUGUUUGUGAGAUAUUCACUGACUAUAAGCC
RNAcentral lists this long non-coding RNA (993 nucleotides) under Homo sapiens (human). RNAcentral's name for it is "HSALNT0323607". The record is from RNAcentral. Lineage: Eukaryota; Metazoa; Chordata; Mammalia; Primates; Hominidae.